GAUUUCUGGCUUGAAGCAUUUUGCCGGCCACGGUUUCGUGUGUUAGUGCUUGAUGUUCUGGCCAUCCUUCCAAUCGCUAUUUGCUUCUCUUCAUUGAUUAGCAAGUGGUAUUGGAUCUUUUACUUUGAAAAAAUUAGAGUGUUUCAAGCAGGCUAUUGCUAUGAAUACAUUAGCAUGGAAUAAUAAUUUAGGACUUCGGUUCUAUUCGCUGAAGACUAACUUAUGCGAAAGCAUUCACCAAGGAUGUCUUCU
RNAcentral lists this ribosomal RNA (252 nucleotides) under uncultured Cercomonas. Its description in RNAcentral is "partial 18S ribosomal RNA". The record is from RNAcentral. Lineage: Eukaryota; Cercozoa; Cercomonadida; Cercomonadidae.